RNA transcript from Helicoverpa zea (corn earworm), 3703 nucleotides. It is a transcript of the gene named homeotic protein distal-less-like, with no coding region annotated. The transcript is spliced from 10 exons. Lineage: Eukaryota; Metazoa; Arthropoda; Insecta; Lepidoptera; Noctuidae. The record is from RefSeq and is a predicted model, not a curated record.
UUAAAUCCAACAGGAGUUGGUUGUGUCGGGUUUCUUCGGAGGGGUACGCUAUUAAAAUAUCCACAAACAUUAUCUUUAAUUGGACAGAAUUUUGUGCUUGUGUGCGUCUGCGAGCGUGUUUUUUUUUCGAAGCCAGUGACGAUUCGGUUUUUUCGAAACUUGAUGACUGUUAUCAUUUGUGUUUAGUGUGUGGUGAUCGCCUGUGAUUUUCUAUAGUUUAACUCGAAGAAUAAUAUGACUCGUUUAGACUCGAUACAGGAACCAGUGUUGUGAUUAAAAAUGACAUCGGUGACGUAAUAUUGGCGCGGCGAAAAUCGAAAUCGACUAUCGACGAAGUAAAAUUGGAAAAUGAUGCCACGUGCUUCGUAAUUGCUGAAUCGUAAUGCAUGGAUCGUUAAUUGAUAGGCAAUUAUCUUUCUGUCCUGUUCUUUCUAAUUGCUGGCAAUAAUAAAUUUGAUUGCUACGCCUUACUUCUCUAGUGCUGUACCCGAUCUGUUACAAAUAAAAAAAAACCUUUCGAUUCCAAAUUCGAAUUCGACCAAUCAACGAUUUUUCAAAGAUCUCGAAGGGAAGGACCAGUGUACGAAAAGACCAGUGUAAAAUAUAGAAACUAAAUAAAAUUUUGUGUGACAAUAUUGUGGUGUUAAAAAAAUAUUUGUGAAAAAGUGAUGCUGUGUGAUAUCGCGUGAUUUCAACAAAAACCGCUAACCCAGCGGCCCCCUACACAAAAAGACCAUAAAAUCCCUCAAAAUUACUCGAAUUCAAUCCCCCAACAGCAAACCAACCACCCUGAGUUUCACAGAUCCGUUUGGGCCUCCCCAGUCUUCGGACGGGGGGGGCCCAUCCACUCCCCAGCCGGCCCUGACCACCCAAGACUCCAUAGACCACCAACACCAUCAUUUAGGGGGCUCCCAAACCCCCCAUGAUAUCUCAAACUCGAAUAACUCAACGCCAACAAAUGUAUCUUCGAAGUCUGCUUUCAUAGAGUUGCAACAACAUGGGUACGGUCCUUUUAAGGGGGGGUAUCAGCACCCCCACCAUUUUGGGAGCCCAGGGGGUCAGCAGAAUCCUCACGAGGCCUCAGGGUUCCCCAGUCCUAGGUCGUUAGGGUAUCCUUUUCCUCCGAUGCACCAAAAUACUUAUGGUUAUCACUUAGGGUCCUAUGCGCCGCAGUGUGCCAGUCCGCCUAAAGAUGAAAAAUGCGGCCUCUCCGAUGACCCAGGGCUCCGCGUGAACGGCAAAGGCAAGAAGAUGCGGAAGCCACGCACGAUAUACUCCAGUCUUCAACUGCAGCAGCUGAACAGAAGGUUCCAGAGGACACAGUACCUUGCACUGCCUGAGAGGGCGGAACUAGCUGCGAGCUUGGGAUUGACGCAGACGCAGGUGAAGAUCUGGUUCCAGAACCGGCGCAGCAAAUACAAGAAGAUGAUGAAAGCGGCUCAGGUGGGCGCCCCGCCGCCCAGCCUCGGCCUCCCGCCCAGCAGUCCGCCCAACAACAACCAGUUACUACAUGGUGGAGGCGGCAGCUCAAGCGGUUCCCAGCACUCCCCCUCAGCGUACCAGAGUGGGGGCCCGGCGCAGGCUCACUCUCCCACUCCGAGUUCCACCCCGGUGUCGGAGCUCUCCCCCGGCCUGUCACCCACCGGGACUCCGUGGGAUGUGAAGCAGCCGCCGCAGCAGUCUUGGGAUGUCAAGGUCGGAUAUCCGACGGCAGGCCGAUCACCGGACGGCAGCUCGUGUGAUGUGAAACCGCCUCAUCAACAAUCUUGGGACCCGAGGGUCGGAUAUGAGGGUUAUUUCGCGCCUCAAACGGAUGACAUAGAAGGAUCGCCAGGCGCCGAUGGCAUGAGGGGCCGACCUAUGCCUUGGAUGUUGAAGGGCGCGCCGCCCGGCCCCUGGGACAUGAAGGGCGCGCACGCCGCCCACGCGCUGCAUCACCAGGGAGCCCCGCAGCCGCAUCCGCCCUAUGUGCCCCAGUACUCCUGGUACCAGACCGACGCCAACCCUGGCUUACUUACCCUUUCGCAGUCCACUGCUGGACAUAGGCCCCUACAGAAAUGGGGAAUGAAUCACCACGCUUGGCAAGCGGGCUGGUGACUGCCGUCUUCUUGUGACACUUGGUGUCCGUGUCACAAUGUUCCUGGUAGCAGCCCGAUGUUCCUGGGUCAGUCAGGUAUGGCCCGCAGUUUAACAGCCCUCGCACAAACACAAAACUAACUAAAUUGUAAGUGUAUGUAUAUUCACAACAAAAUGGCGGACAGACAUGACAGCCAUCACAAAAUGGCGUCGUAUUAAUGGCGCGAAAGCAUCGGCACAACCAACUUUUAUUUUUAAGCAGAAUUAUUUAAUAGUAAUAAUGAAAUCAUUGUAAAUUUUUAUAAUUAAUUAUAAAUAGGGAAUAAAUUGUUCAUAAUGGUUACUGUAAAUGUAAUAAAUAUGUUAAUAAAACAGAUAUUGGUGGGUCAGAUGAUUAAUGGAAACCUAAACAUAUUUAAAUAUUUUUUGCCAAUAAAUAAACUUUCUGUCUCAAUAAAUCAGUUUUUAGCAACCAAAAAUAAAUUUUAUAUUUAUUGCACAUUCCAUUAAUUUUAAAAUAUUUAUUAUAUUUUCUUCUAAGAAAUAAUUCGUUGACCCAUCAAUAAACUAUUCCUAACAAUAACGUAACGUUUUGGAAACCCGAAUAAAAGAUAUCAGCCAAUCAAAUAUCGUGGAUCCUAAAACGCACGUUUAUGAUUGGCUGAUGAUCACGCGGCACUCUAAAAUGGACGAAUCACGUUAUUUGUCAAAUUUGACAAUGACAGAUGUGAAUGUGUUGGCUCUUUUAGUUUACCUUUUAGUUUCCCGGAAGAAUGAAUCUUUUAAAGUUAUAUCUCAAGAUUUUAAUAUCUUUUGUUGAAUUUUGCCAUAAUUUCUGAUCUUACAAAUGGUUGCAAUUGUUACUAUAAUUUUCAGAAGUCAACGGCAAAAUAUAAAAUUAGUUUUUUUGGAAAUUCGUGAUUUUCCAACUAAAAAUGUUUGCAAUAUUCGCUAGAUACAAUUUUUUCAUAUAUUCUUUGAAAAACUUAUUUAAAAAUUGAAACUAUAUUGGUCAGCUGUAAGUAAUAUUAUUAUUUGAAAAAUUGUAUUCGUAAAUUAAGCUUUAAUCAUUUUUAUUUAUUUAGAAUUUUGGAAAAAUAAACUAUCAAACGGGAACACAAAACCAGUCUGUUGUGAUAAAUAAUUUUAAGUUUUUUUUUUUAUGUAGAACAAUAAUUUUGAUUUAAAAAAAAUGUAUUUAUUACAUUUUUGUGCAAAAAUAAUGUGUUCUGAAUGCAAAAAAGAGUUUUGUUUUAAGCUAUAAGUAUAUUUUUAUUUUUAAUUUCAACUGCAAUUUCUUUAUUACCUGUAAAACAAUACAGUCUAUUCAUUUUUCUUACAUUUUUCAAAAAAAUAUACUUUAUUUUUUUUUCAUUAUUUUAUUUUGCAAUAAUAACUAAAGUUAUAUGGAUAGACUGUAUUUCGAUAUAUCUUUAUUUCUAGAAUGGGUCUUUACGGGAUGAAAAAUUUUGUAAAUAUUUUUUGUAAUAUAUAGAAAAAUAAACUAUACAUAUAAACAUAGGUAGCAUAAUUACUUUAUAACUACAAUGUAUUAUAAGGAAAGCGGAAAUAAGAAAAAAAAGUGAAUUAAUUUCUUUUGUCAAAUAAAAAGAGAAAAAUAUUAUUA